UCUUCCCGCCGCUAAUUGUGGGGCUCCUCUUUCGGGAUUGGCUGCGCUUCCCAUCCAUAAUGUAAUUAAACCCAACGAGGAAGCAGCCCCCCUCCCAGUCCAGCGCUUGCUGAAGUUAAUGCGGCUAUUUAAGAAGAUUUAACUGGGCCAGAGUUGCUGCUUCGAAAUAAAGCGAUGCACAAUGCGAAUGUCUUUUUCCCCAGCUCUUUUGGGUCUCGUUCACACUCUCUCUACCUGAAACCAGUUUCUCCAUCAACUGAGGUCAUCUGUCCUUGUGGAGAUCUGCCAAGUUUACUACUAGUGAGGAUCCAAGGAGGACUGGAAUGUCCUGUGAAGCCCACAGCCUCCUAAGGAUGGCAGCCUCCAGCCAUAUCUCCAGGAGUCUAUCUUUCUCAGAGUUGGACUUCUCCUCAACCAAAGUCCUCCACAACUAACAGAGCUAACGCAAGCUAGUUCCUGAUGUGUGCCUUCAAGUUGUCUCAUGGCAACCCUAAGGGAUGUCUUUGCCUUCCUCUGAGGCUGAGAGAAUGGGACUUGAACCCAGUGGGCUUCCACAGCCAAGCAGAGAUGCAAAGCCUGAUCUCCAGAGUCCUAGUCCCAGGCUCAAGCCA
This is a long non-coding RNA of Anolis sagrei ordinatus, 611 nucleotides long. RefSeq lists it as uncharacterized. Lineage: Eukaryota; Metazoa; Chordata; Lepidosauria; Squamata; Anolidae. The record is from RefSeq and is a predicted model, not a curated record.